Fukomys damarensis (Damara mole-rat) is the source of this 66-nucleotide non-coding RNA. Lineage: Eukaryota; Metazoa; Chordata; Mammalia; Rodentia; Bathyergidae. The record is from Rfam.
UGCUCGUGGUGAAGCGGCCCCUCUCGGAGCUCUGGGCCCUGCCAGGGGUAGGAUGGGGCCAAAGCA